Molecule: transfer RNA, 72 nt
Filed under: Butyrivibrio sp.
Lineage: Bacteria; Bacillati; Bacillota; Clostridia; Lachnospirales; Lachnospiraceae
Also listed under: 1 other name
Description: tRNA-Lys
Rfam family: tRNA
About the family: Transfer RNA (tRNA) molecules are approximately 80 nucleotides in length.
Source: RNAcentral
GCACUCGUAGUUUAAUGGUAGAAUGGCUGACUUUUAAUCAGUAAGAUGUGGGUUCAAGUCCCAUCGGGUGCA